CAGUAACGGCGAGUGAAGCGGCAACAGCUCAAAUUUAAAAUCUGGCUCCGUCGGGGUCCGAAUUGUAAUUUGUAGAGAGUGCUUCGGGCGAGGCCUCGGUCUAAGUCCAUUGGAACAUGGUGUCACAGAGGGUGAGAAUCCCGUAUGCGACCGUGGCUCGAGCCGAUGUGAAGCCUCUUCGACGAGUCGAGUUGUUUGGGAAUGCAGCUCAAAAUGGGUGGUAAAUUUCAUCUAAAGCUAAAUACCGGCUGGAGACCGAUAGCGCACAAGUAGAGUGAUCGAAAGAUGAAAAGCACUUUGGAAAGAGAGUCAAACAGUACGUGAAAUUGUUGAAAGGGAAGCGCUUGCAACCAGACCUGCCCGUAGGCGAUCAGCCGCUGUUCUCAGCGGUGUACUCGCUCUGCGAUCAGGCCAGCAUCGGUUUCGGCGGUCGGAUAAAGGCCUUGGGAAUGUAGCUUCUCUUCGGGGGAGUCUUAUAGCCCUCGGCGUAAUGCGGCCAGCCGGGACCGAGGACCGCGCUUCGGCUAGGAUGCUGGCGUAAUGGUUGUAAGCGACCCGUCUUGAAACACGGACCAAGGAGUCUAACAUCUAUGCGAGUGUUUGGGUGUCAAACCCAUGCGCGGAAUGAAAGUGAACGGAGGUGAGAACUCUUAAGGGCGCAUCAUCGACCGAUCCAGAAGUCUUCGGAUGGAUUUGAGUAUGAGCAUAGCUGUUGGGACCCGAAAGAUGGUGAACUAUGCCUGAUAGGGUGAAGCCAGAGGAAACUCUGGUGGAGGCUCGCAGCGGUUCUGACGUGCAAAUCGAUCGUCAAAUUUGGGUAUAGGGGCGAAGACUAAUC
Molecule: ribosomal RNA, 838 nt
Filed under: Xanthoparmelia subramigera
Lineage: Eukaryota; Fungi; Ascomycota; Lecanoromycetes; Lecanorales; Parmeliaceae
Description: partial large subunit ribosomal RNA
Rfam family: Eukaryotic large subunit ribosomal RNA
Source: RNAcentral